UCGGAUAUGGUGUAAUGGCUAACAUUGCCGCCUCUCAUGAGUUCUCUUCGAAAGUACCUCGCGGCAGCUCGGGGUUCGAUUCCCCGUAUCCGAA
Non-coding RNA from Termitomyces sp. T159_Od127, 94 nucleotides. Lineage: Eukaryota; Fungi; Basidiomycota; Agaricomycetes; Agaricales; Lyophyllaceae. The record is from the annotation of a GenBank genome assembly.